Molecule: ribosomal RNA, 253 nt
Filed under: uncultured bacterium
Lineage: Bacteria
Description: partial 16S ribosomal RNA
Rfam family: Bacterial small subunit ribosomal RNA
Source: RNAcentral
UACGUAGGGGGCGAGCGUUGUCUGCAGUUACUGGGCGUAAAGCGCGCGUAGGCGGGUUGGCAAGUCUGCUGUGAAAGCCCGGAGCUUAACUCCGGAGGGUCGGUGGAUACUGCCAGUCUUGAAGGUGCUAGGGAGAGAUGGAAUUACAGGUGUAGCGGUGAAAUGCGUAGAUAUCUGUAGGAACACCAAUGGCGAAGGCAGCUCGCUGGGACGGUACUGACACUGAGGCGCGAAAGCGUGGGGAGCGAACAGG